CUACGGGACGCUGCAGUGAGGAAUUUUGCGCAAUGGGGGGAACCCUGACGCAGCAACGCCGCGUGAGUGAAGAAGGCCUUUGGGUCGUAAAGCUCUGUCGAUAGGGAAGAAGUUAUUAUGAUUUAAUAGAUGAUAGUAUUGACGGUACCUAUAGAGGAAGCACCGGCUAACUCCGUGCCAGCAGCCGCGGUAAUACUGGGGGGUGCAAGCGUUAUUCGGAAUUAUUGGGCGUAAAGGGCGCGUAGGCGGUCUUGUCGGUCAGAUGUGAAAGCCCGGGGCUCAACCCUGGACGCGCAUUUGAAACAGCAAGACUUGAGUACGGGAGAGGAAAGCGGAAUUCCUGGUGUAGAGGUGAAAUUCGUAGAUAUCAGGAGGAACACCGAUGGCGAAGGCAGCUUUCUGGACCGAUACUGACGCUGAGGCGCGAAGGCGUGGGUAGCGAACGGGAUUAGAUACCCGCGUAGUC
Molecule: ribosomal RNA, 466 nt
Filed under: uncultured bacterium
Lineage: Bacteria
Description: partial 16S ribosomal RNA
Rfam family: Bacterial small subunit ribosomal RNA
Source: RNAcentral